CCUAACACAUGCAAGUCGAACGAAGUAGCAAUACUUAGUGGCGGACGGGUGAGUAAAAUGUGGGUAUCUACCCAUUGGUUCAGAAUAACACGGGGAAACUUGUGCUAAUACUGGAUAAGCCUUUACAGGGAAAGCUUUAUGCGCCAAAGGAUGAGCCUGCACUUGAUUAGCUUGUUGGUAAGGUAAAAGCUUACCAAGGCUACGAUCAAUAGCUGAUCUGAGAGGAUGAUCAGCCACAUUGGGACUGAGACACGGCCCAAACUCCUACGGGAGGCAGCAGUGGGGAAUCUUGCACAAUGGGGGAAACCCUGAUGCAGCGAUGCCGCGUGAGUGAAGAAGGCCUUUGGGUUGUAAAGCUCUUUCGUCGGGGAAGAAAAUGACUGUACCCGAAUAAGAAGGUCCGGCUAACUUCGUGCCAGCAGCCGCGGUAAUACGAAGGGACCUAGCGUAGUUCGGAAUUACUGGGCUUAAAGAGCUCGUAGGUGGUUAGAAAAGUUGGUUGGUGAAAUCCCAAGGCUUAACCUUGGAACUGCCACCAAAACUUUUUGACUAGAGUAUGAUAGAGGAAAGUGGAAUUUCUAGUGUAGAGGUGAAAUUCGUAGAUAUAGAAAGAACACCGAUUGCGAAGGCAACUUUCUGGAUCAUUACUGACACUGAGGAGCGAAAGCAUGGGUAGCGAAGAGGAUUAGAUACCCUCGUAGUCCAUGCCGUAAACGAUGUGUGCUAGACGUUGGAAAUUUAUUUUUCAGUGUCGCAGCAAAAGCGUUAAGCACACCGCCUGGGGAGUACGACCGCAAGUACUAAUGAAUAGG
This 812-nucleotide ribosomal RNA is filed under the name alpha proteobacterium SCGC AAA288-O14. RNAcentral's name for it is "SSU rRNA". It matches the Rfam family "Bacterial small subunit ribosomal RNA", at positions 47 to 913 of the family's 1533-position model. Lineage: Bacteria; Pseudomonadati; Pseudomonadota; Alphaproteobacteria. The record is from RNAcentral.